Molecule: ribosomal RNA, 2813 nt
Filed under: Chloroflexota bacterium
Lineage: Bacteria; Bacillati; Chloroflexota
Description: 23S ribosomal RNA
Rfam family: Bacterial large subunit ribosomal RNA
Source: RNAcentral
AAGCGAGUAAGGGCAUACAGGGGAUGCCUGGGCGUCUCGUGCCGAAGAAGGACGUGGUACACUGCGAAAAGCUCCGGUGAGCCGUGUGCAGGCGCAAGAGCCGGAGAUGUCCGAAUGGGGAAACCCGUCCCGGGUGAUGCCGGGACAUCCCGCAAGGGAGGGGAACCGGGUGAACUGAAACAUCUUAGUAACCCGAGGAAAAGAGAUCAUUCUGCUAGUAGUGGCGAGCGAACGCGGAAGAGCCUAAACCGACGAAAGUCGGGGUUGGAGGGUUCUCGGUAAACAACAGCGGUCGAAGCGGAAGGGUCUGGGAAGGCCCACCAGAGAGGGUGAUAGUCCCGUAGGCGCAGACUUAAGUUGGGCGAGAAUACCUGAGUACCGCAGGACACGCGAAAUCCGGCGGGAAGCAGGGGUGACCACACCCCAAGGCUAAAUACAUGAGACGACCGAUAGCGAACCAGUACCGUGAGGGAAAGGUGAAAAGAACCCCGGCGAGGGGAGUGAAAGAGACUCUGAAACUGUAUGCCUACAACCGGUCAGAGUCCCGCGCAAGCGGGGUGAUGGCGUGCCUUUUGGAGAAUGAGCCUGCGAGUUCAUCUCAGUGGCGAGCUUAAGGGAGUGACACCCGGAGGCGAAGCGAAAGCGAGUCUGAAAAGGGCGAGCAGUGGCUGGGAUGAGACACGAAACCGGGUGAGCUACGCAUGGUCAGGGUGAAAGUGCGGUAACACGCACGGGAGGCCCGAACUCACCAGUGUUGCAAAACUGGGGGAAGAACUGUGUGUAGGGGUGAAAUGCCAAACGAACUCGGAGAUAGCUUGUUCUCCCCGAAAUAGCUUUAGGGCUAGCGUUGCGCGAUGGGUCCAGGAGGUAGAGCACUGGAUGGGCUAGGGGGCUGUGAGCUUACUGAACCCAACCAAACUGCGAAUGCCUGGACGGGGAGCGCAGCAGUCGGACUGUGGAUGAUGAGAUUCAUGGUCGAGAGGGAAAGAACCCAGACCCACAGCUAAGGUCCUGAAGGGGUGCUAAGUGGGAAACGAUGUGCGGGUGUCGAGACAGCCAGGAGGUUGGCUUAGAAGCAGCCACCCUUGAAAGAGUGCGUAACAGCUCACUGGUCGAACGCCUGUGCGCGGAUAAUGUAACGGGGCUGAAGCACCACACCGAAGCUUGGGACGUGAAAGCGUGGUAGGGGAGCGUUCCGCCAGCGGAGAAGGCGUGCUGGAAGGCACGUUGGAGCGGGCGGGAGUGAGAAUGCAGGCAUGAGUAGCGUAAAACAUGUGAGAACCAUGUUCGCCGAAGGUCUAAGGUUUCCGACGGAAGGUCAGUCCGCGUCGGGUUAGUCGGGCCUAAGCCGAGGCCGAGAGGCGUAGGUGAUGGACAACCGGUUAAUAUUCCGGUACCAGACAGGGGAGAAGGCGCGAGGGACUCAGGAAGGGUCAGCCGCUGGGUGGAGUGCGGUGGCAAGCGGUUAACGACCGCGAAGCCGUGCCGAAAGGCAGGAAGUGACCGGGACCUGGGGACAAGAAAAGGCGCGCCGACGAUGAAGCUGUCUGCCCGUACCACAAACCGACACCGGUAGAUAGGUAGAGGAUACCAGGGCGAACGGGAGAACCCUCGUUAAGGAACUAGGCAAAAAGGUCCCGUAACUUCGGGAGAAGGGACACCCCUCGCAAGGGGGGUCGCAGCGAAGAGGCUCUACCGACUGUUUACCAAAAACACAGGUCUCUGCAAACGCGAAAGCGGACGUAUAGGGGCUGACACCUGCCCAGUGCCGGAAGGUUAAGAGGAGGGGUUAGCGCAAGCGAAGCUCUGAAUUGAAGCCCCGGUGAACGGCGGCCGUAACUAUAACGGUCCUAAGGUAGCGAAAUUCCUUGUCGGGUAAGUUCCGACCCGCACGAAAGGUGUAACGAGUGGAGCACUGUCUCAACGGGGGACCCGGCGAAAUUGAAGUACGUGUAAAGAUGCGCGUUACCCGCAGUCGGACAAAAAGACCCUGUGGAGCUUUACUGUAGCCUGUCAUUGCGUUAGGGCACAACUUGUGUAGGAUAGCUGGGAGGCGGAGAAGCCUGGUCGCCAGACUGGGUGGAGCCGACGGUGAAAUACCAGCCUGGUUGUGCUUUGGCCCUAACCGCGAGCGUGGAGCGAGCGGGACAGUGGCAGGUGGGCAGUUUGACUGGGGCGGUCGCCUCCUAAAAGGUAACGGAGGCGCCCAAAGGUUGGCUCAGGCGGAAUGGAAACCCGCCGCAGAGUGUAAAGGCACAAGCCAGCUUGACUGCAAGACGGACAGGUCGAGCAGAGACGAAAGUCGGGCUUAGUGAUCCCACGGCGCUGAGUGGAAGGGCCGUGGCUUACCGGAUAAAAGCUACCCCGGGGAUAACAGGCUAGUCUUGCCCAAGAGUCCAUAUCGACGGCAAGGCUCGGCACCUCGAUGUCGGCUCAUCGCAUCCUGGGGCUGGAUAAGGUCCCAAGGGUUGGGCUGUUCGCCCAUUAAAGCGGUACGUGAGCUGGGUUCAGACCGUCGUGAGACAGGUCGGUCUCUAUCCGCUGUGGGCGUUGGGAGUUUGAGAGGCGCUGCCCCUAGUACGAGAGGACCGGGGUGGACGCAGCGCUCGUGAGCCGGUUGUUUCGCCAGAAGCACAGCCGGGUAGCGAACUGCGGAACGGAUAACCGCUGAAAGCAUCUAAGUGGGAAACCGACCUCAAGAUGAGACUCCCCAUCCGAAAGGAGUAAGACCGCUGGUAGACGACCAGUUGGAUAGGCCGGAGGUGGAAGCGUGGCAACACGUGGAGCUGACCGGUACUAAUGGUCGAGGGCUU